AACGAACGCUGGCGGCAGGCCUAACACAUGCAAGUCGAACGCCGUAGCAAUACGGAGUGGCAGACGGGUGAGUAACACGUGGGAACGUACCUUUCGGUUCGGAAUAACUCAGGGAAACUUGAGCUAAUACCGGAUACGUGCGAGAGCAGAAAGAUUUAUCGCCGAAAGAUCGGCCCGCGUCCGAUUAGCUUGUUGGUGAGGUAAUGGCUCACCAAGGCGACGAUCGGUAGCUGGUCUGAGAGGAUGAUCAGCCACACUGGGACUGAGACACGGCCCAGACUCCUACGGGAGGCAGCAGUGGGGAAUAUUGGACAAUGGGCGCAAGCCUGAUCCAGCCAUGCCGCGUGAGUGAUGAAGGCCUUAGGGUUGUAAAGCUCUUUUGUCCGGGAAGAUAAUGACGGUACCGGAAGAAUAAGCCCCGGCUAACUUCGUGCCAGCAGCCGCGGUAAU
Molecule: ribosomal RNA, 450 nt
Filed under: uncultured bacterium
Lineage: Bacteria
Description: bacterial SSU rRNA
Rfam family: Bacterial small subunit ribosomal RNA
Source: RNAcentral